RNAcentral lists this transfer RNA (69 nucleotides) under Heterocephalus glaber (naked mole-rat). It matches the Rfam family "tRNA". From Rfam's summary of the family: Transfer RNA (tRNA) molecules are approximately 80 nucleotides in length. Their secondary structure includes four short double-helical elements and three loops (D, anti-codon, and T loops). Further hydrogen bonds mediate the characteristic L-shaped molecular structure. tRNAs have two regions of fundamental functional importance: the anti-codon, which is responsible for specific mRNA codon recognition, and the 3' end, to which the tRNAs corresponding amino acid is attached (by aminoacyl-tRNA synthetases). tRNAs cope with the degeneracy of the genetic code in two manners: having more than one tRNA (with a specific anti-codon) for a particular amino acid; and 'wobble' base-pairing, i.e. permitting non-standard base-pairing at the 3rd anti-codon position. Lineage: Eukaryota; Metazoa; Chordata; Mammalia; Rodentia; Bathyergidae. The record is from Rfam by way of RNAcentral.
GGGGAUAUGGCUCAGUGGUAGAGUAUUUGUCUAGCAUGCAUGAAGCAUUGGGUUCAAUCCCCAAUACCA